GGCGGUUCUUGGGUGAUGCACCCCAGAACCAGAGAGGAAGACGCCCGAUUCCGGGGUGCAUCACCCAAGAACUACC
Molecule: non-coding RNA, 76 nt
Organism: Myotis lucifugus (little brown bat)
Lineage: Eukaryota; Metazoa; Chordata; Mammalia; Chiroptera; Vespertilionidae
Source: Rfam